Molecule: ribosomal RNA, 253 nt
Filed under: uncultured bacterium
Lineage: Bacteria
Description: partial 16S ribosomal RNA
Rfam family: Bacterial small subunit ribosomal RNA
Source: RNAcentral
UACGGGGGGGGCAAGCGUUGUUCGGAAUUACUGGGCGUAAAGGGUGCGUAGGCGGUUUGCUAUGUCGGAUGUGAAAACUCUGGGCUCAACCCAGAGCCUGCAUCCGAAACUGGCGAGCUAGAGUUCUGGAGGGGGUAGCGGAAUUCCUGGUGUAGCGGUGAAAUGCGUAGAUAUCAGGAGGAACACCGGUGGCGAAGGCGGCUACCUGGACAGAAACUGACGCUGAGGCACGAAAGUGUGGGGAUCAAACAGG